This 761-nucleotide ribosomal RNA is filed under the name Arthrobacter sp. RNAcentral describes it as "bacterial SSU rRNA". It matches the Rfam family "Bacterial small subunit ribosomal RNA", at positions 68 to 840 of the family's 1533-position model. The record is from RNAcentral. Lineage: Bacteria; Bacillati; Actinomycetota; Actinomycetes; Micrococcales; Micrococcaceae.
GAUGAUCCGGUGCUUGCGCCGGGGAUUAGUGGCGAACGGGUGAGUAACACGUGAGUAACCUGCCCUUGACUCUGGGAUAAGCCUGGGAAACUGGGUCUAAUACCGGAUAUGACUCCUCAUCGCAUGGUGGGGGGUGGAAAGCUUUUGUGGUUUUGGAUGGACUCGCGGCCUAUCAGCUUGUUGGUGAGGUAAUGGCUCACCAAGGCGACGACGGGUAGCCGGCCUGAGAGGGUGACCGGCCACACUGGGACUGAGACACGGCCCAGACUCCUACGGGAGGCAGCAGUGGGGAAUAUUGCACAAUGGGCGCAAGCCUGAUGCAGCGACGCCGCGUGAGGGAUGACGGCCUUCGGGUUGUAAACCUCUUUCAGUAGGGAAGAAGCGAAAGUGACGGUACCUGCAGAAGAAGCGCCGGCUAACUACGUGCCAGCAGCCGCGGUAAUACGUAGGGCGCAAGCGUUAUCCGGAAUUAUUGGGCGUAAAGAGCUCGUAGGCGGUUUGUCGCGUCUGCCGUGAAAGUCCGGGGCUCAACUCCGGAUCUGCGGUGGGUACGGGCAGGCUAGAGUGAUGUAGGGGAGACUGGAAUUCCUGGUGUAGCGGUGAAAUGCGCAGAUAUCAGGAGGAACACCGAUGGCGAAGGCAGGUCUCUGGGCAUUAACUGACGCUGAGGAGCGAAAGCAUGGGGAGCGAACAGGAUUAGAUACCCUGGUAGUCCAUGCCGUAAACGUUGGGCACUAGGUGUGGGGGACAUUCCACGUUUU